GAUGGGGAGCGAAAUUUAGUAGCGAAGUAGCUGAUUUCACACUGUCAAGAAAAGUCACUAGCGAGGUUAAAGGCACCCGGACCGCAAACCGACACAGGUGGGUGAGGAGAGUAUCCGAAGGCCAGCGAGAGAACUGGUGUUAAGGAACUGGGCAAAAGGACCCCGGAACUUAGGGAUAAGGGGUGCCACCAUCAGGUGGCCGCAGAGAAUAGGGCCAAGCGACUGUUUACCAAAAACAUAGGUUUCUGCUAAGUCGCAAGACGAUGUAUAGGAGCUGACGCCUGCCCGGUGCUGGAAGGUUAAGGGGAUCUGUUAGAGCAAUCGAAGCAGUGAACUUAAGCC
RNAcentral lists this ribosomal RNA (342 nucleotides) under Clostridioides difficile. RNAcentral's name for it is "bacterial LSU rRNA". It matches the Rfam family "Bacterial large subunit ribosomal RNA", at positions 1565 to 1919 of the family's 2925-position model. Lineage: Bacteria; Bacillati; Bacillota; Clostridia; Peptostreptococcales; Peptostreptococcaceae. The record is from RNAcentral.